CCUACGGGAGGCAGCAGUGAGGAAUAUUGGUCAAUGGUCGCGAGCCUGAACCAGCCAAGUAGCGUGAAGGAUGACUGCCCUGCGGGUUGUAAACUUCUUUUAUAAAGGAAUAAAGUCAGACACGUGUGCCUUUUUGUAUGUACUUUAUGAAUAAGGAUCGGCUAACUCCGUGCCCGCCGCCGCGGUAAUACGGAGGCUCCGAUCGUUAUCCGGUUUUAUUGGGUUUAAAGGGAGCGUAGACGGGUUGUUAAGUCAGUUGUGAAAGUUUGCGGCUCAACCGUAAAAUUGCAAUUGAUACUGGCAGCCUCGAGUACAGUUGAGGUAGGCGGAAUUCGUGGUGUAGCGGUGAAAUGCUUAGAUAUCACGAAGAACUCCGAUUGCGAAGGCAGCAUACUAAACUGCCACUGACAUUGAUGCUCGAAAGUGUGGGUAUCAAACAGGAUUAGAUACCCUUGUAGUC
This 460-nucleotide ribosomal RNA is filed under the name uncultured bacterium. RNAcentral's name for it is "partial 16S ribosomal RNA". It matches the Rfam family "Bacterial small subunit ribosomal RNA", at positions 338 to 795 of the family's 1533-position model. The record is from RNAcentral.